This 502-nucleotide ribosomal RNA is filed under the name uncultured bacterium. Its description in RNAcentral is "partial 16S ribosomal RNA". It matches the Rfam family "Bacterial small subunit ribosomal RNA", at positions 899 to 1397 of the family's 1533-position model. The record is from RNAcentral.
ACUCAAAGGAAUUGACGGGGGCCCGCACAAGCGGUGGAGCAUGUGGUUUAAUUCGAUGCUACGCGAAAAACCUUACCAACCCUUGACAUCUGGGUCGCGCGGAAGAGAGAUCUACCGCUUCAGUUCGGCUGGACCCAAGACAGGUGUUGCAUGGCUGUCGUCAGCUCGUGUCGUGAGAUGUUGGGUUAAGUCCCGCAACGAGCGCAACCCUCAUCCUUAGUUACCAGCACGUUAUGGUGGGCACUCUAAGGAAACUGCCGGCGUUAAGCCGGAGGAAGGUGGGGACGACGUCAAGUCAUCAUGGCCCUUACGGGUUGGGCUACACACGUGCUACAAUGGUGGUGACAAUGGGAAGCAAUACCGCAAGGUGGAGCAAAUCCUAAAAAGCCACCUCAGUUCAGAUUGCACCCUGCAACUCGGGUGCAUGAAGUCGGAAUCGCUAGUAAUCGUGGAUCAGCAUGCCACGGUGAAUACGUUCCCGGGCCUUGUACACACCGCCCGU